RNAcentral lists this ribosomal RNA (445 nucleotides) under uncultured bacterium. Its description in RNAcentral is "partial 16S ribosomal RNA". It matches the Rfam family "Bacterial small subunit ribosomal RNA", at positions 354 to 796 of the family's 1533-position model. The record is from RNAcentral.
GUGAGGAAUAUUGGUCAAUGGACGAGAGUCUGAACCAGCCAAGUCGCGUGAAGGAAGACGGUUCUAUGAAUUGUAAACUUCUUUUGUGCAGGAAUAAAGUGGGUUACGUGUAACCUUUUGUAUGUACUGUACGAAUAAGGAUCGGCUAACUCCGUGCCAGCAGCCGCGGUAAUACGGAGGAUCCGAGCGUUAUCCGGAUUUAUUGGGUUUAAAGGGUGCGUAGGUGGAUUGAUAAGUCAGCGGUGAAAGUUUGCAGCUUAACUGUAAAAUUGCCGUUGAAACUGUCGGUCUUGAGUGCAAAUGAGGUAGGCGGAAUGUGUUGUGUAGCGGUGAAAUGCUUAGAUAUAACACAGAACUCCGAUUGCGAAGGCAGCUUACUGGGAUGCAACUGACACUGAUGCACGAAAGCGUGGGUAUCAAACAGGAUUAGAUACCCGGGUAGUCC